CAAUAGCAUAUAUUAACGUUGUUGCAGUUGAAAAGCUCGUAGUUGAACUUUUGGUAGGAGCGACCUGGCCUUGGGCGCAUGCCCUUGUUUGCCGUGUGUCGUAUCUGGCCAUCCUUUUCCGUUUCGGCGGGAAUCUUUUACUGUGAGUAAACUGGAGUGCUCAAAACAAGACGUUUGUUUGGUACAUUAAAGCAUGGAAUAAUAAGAUAGGACCUGGUUACUAUUUUGUUGGUUUGCAUAGCUAGGUAAUGAUUAACAGGGACAGUUGGGGGUAUUCGUAUUUAAUUGUCAGAGGUGAAAUUCUUGGAUUUAUGAAAGACGAACGACUGCGAAAGCAUUUACCAAGGACGUUUUCAUUAA
RNAcentral lists this ribosomal RNA (360 nucleotides) under uncultured eukaryote. RNAcentral describes it as "partial 18S ribosomal RNA". It matches the Rfam family "Eukaryotic small subunit ribosomal RNA", at positions 592 to 976 of the family's 1831-position model. The record is from RNAcentral.